Molecule: ribosomal RNA, 435 nt
Filed under: uncultured bacterium
Lineage: Bacteria
Description: bacterial SSU rRNA
Rfam family: Bacterial small subunit ribosomal RNA
Source: RNAcentral
UGAGGAAUAUUGGUCAAUGGACGAGAGUCUGAACCAGCCAAGUAGCGUGAAGGAUGACUGCCCUAUGGUUGUAACAUUCUUUUAUUACGGAAUAAGAUUCAGUCACGUGUGCUGUUUUGUUAUGUACCGUAUGAAUAAGGAUCGGCUAACUCCGUGCCAGCAGCCGCGGUAAUACGGAGGAUCCGAGCGUUAUCCGGAUUUAUUGGGUUUAAAGGGAGCGUAGGCGGAUGCUUAAGUCAGUUGUGAAAGUUUGCGGCUCAACCGUAAAAUUGCAGUUGAUACUGGGUUUCUUGAGUGCAGCAGAGGUAGGCGGAAUUCGUGGUGUAGCGGUGAAAUGCUUAGAUAUCACGAAGAACUCCGAUUGCGAAGGCAGCUUACUGGACUGUAACUGACGCUGAUGCUCGAAAGUGUGGGUAUCAAACAGGAUUAGAUACC